Molecule: non-coding RNA, 1509 nt
Organism: Arachis ipaensis
Lineage: Eukaryota; Viridiplantae; Streptophyta; Magnoliopsida; Fabales; Fabaceae
Source: RefSeq, a predicted model, not a curated record
GAAUUUUGGCCAUUCCAACAAGAGGGUCGGUGUUCCCGAGAAAAAGCACCCUCCCAAUUCAAUUCAAAACAAACACACACACACUUGAAUUCGCAAAUCAGAGAAGGAUUUAGAGUGAUGGUGUCGUACAUGAACGUGUUGUUGUACGGAGUGGGAGGUUUAGUGGUGGCCGGAAUGGCGCUGCUGGUGGCGUUUCAGGAGAAGCUCGUCUACGUGCCGGUGCUGCCUGGUCUCUCCAAGGCUUACGCCAUCACUCCCUCGCGACUCAGGCUCACCUACGAGGACAUCUGGCUCACCUCCUCCGACGGCGUUCGCCUCCACGCCUGGUUCAUCAAGCUCUUCCCUAACUGCCGAGGGCCUACCAUUUUAUUUUUUCAAGAAAAUGCUGGAAAUAUUGCUCAUCGUCUUGAAAUGGUUCGCAUAAUGUUACAGCAGUUACAAUGCAAUGUUUUCAUGCUUUCCUACCGAGGCUAUGGAGCAAGUGAUGGCUAUCCUUCUCAGCAUGGAAUUACUAAGGAUGCUCAGGCUGCACUGGAUCAUCUUUGUCAAAGGUCUGACAUUGAUACAUCUAGAAUAGUUGUAUUUGGAAGAUCACUUGGGGGUGCAGUUGGAGCUGUACUAACAAAGAAUAACCCUGACAAGGUUGCUGCACUGAUACUGGAAAAUACUUUCACAUCUAUUUUGGAUAUGGCUGGAGUUUUAUUACCUUUUCUGAAAUGGUUUAUUGGCGGCAGUAGUUCAAAAGGCAAGAUACUCAAUUUUCUUGUACGUUCUCCAUGGAGCACUAUUGAUGUUGUUGGUCAGAUCAAGCAGCCCAUUCUUUUUCUCUCCGGAUUGCAAGAUGAGAUGGUCCCCCCAUCACAUAUGCAGAUGCUUUAUGCAAAGGCAGCUACUCGUAAUAAUCGAUGUCUUUUUGUGGAAUUUCCUACCGGAAUGCAUAUGGAUACUUGGCUUGCUGGUGGUGAUCAAUAUUGGAGAACAAUUCAGCAGUUUCUAGAACAGCAUGCCCCAGUGAAAAAGGAAGUUGAAUCGUCCCAAAAUGAAAAUGGUUCUGAUCAUGUUAGGCAUGAGAUGGACGAGAACGCAAGGGUGGAAGUUGAACAUGCGUGUUAUAUUUAUAGUUCCUGUAACGAUGUUCCACCCAUUCGUGGAACUGCCCUACAAAAUUCUGGAUGUAUACACAAGCAACAUUUAUCUGAGGGGGAAGUCCUGUUUGAUUUGUGCUCUGCCAAAACCAAACAAUCUCCAGACGCCUAACGCAAUUUUAAGAGCCGUAUAACAUUGCUCGAGAGUCUGAGACGACCUCAAGAAUGAAGCUGAAUUUACACACUACAGUCAACGGUCAACGUGGUCUUCUAGUUUCAUUCCGUAUAAAGAUAUUGGGAUUCCUGAUAGGUUGCACCUUAGGGGUGAGUGGAGCAUUACAUGUGGAAACAGGCUUUGACUUGAGGAAUGGAUUCUUUUCGCACUUUCCCAUUCCGUUAGCAAGCAACCAGCGGGAACCAGAUU